Long non-coding RNA from Ornithorhynchus anatinus (platypus), 661 nucleotides. RefSeq lists it as uncharacterized. The record is from RefSeq and is a predicted model, not a curated record. NCBI's taxonomy places the organism in Eukaryota, Metazoa, Chordata, Mammalia, Monotremata, Ornithorhynchidae. The transcript has 4 exons.
CCCUUACCUGCUCGGCCACCGCCCUGAAGAGGCAAGAGCCGUCCUUGGCGACGGGUUGGCGGUACAAGCCCAGAGACCGCAGGUGUCGAUUCUGGAAUCUGGUCCUUCAGAAGCUGACUUGCUGUACAAUGCGCGGAGGUUGGGGUGUCAGUCAGCCAGUGGGCUUUUCAGCCUCAACCACCCAAUAGUUAUGACCUCACUUCUGGUGAUAUCUUCAAAAAGGAAGGACAGUCAUAUGACGGAGACUGGCUUUAGUACAUGGAAACUGAGAGAUGGUCGGUAUGUGUUAUGGAGCAGUAGAGGAAAAGGAUUGCAUUUUCCCCAUUUUUGGUUUGUGCAGAAAAUUCUUGCCAAUCUGAACUUUCUGCUUAGGCUAGUUACAUUGUCUUACCUAUUUGGAAUGCUUCUGCCAAAUAUUUCAAUAUGAUGCUUUCUCUUCCUUCUUUUUUUUCUUUAAAUAUCAAGCCAGCCCGCCAUAAUACAUUAAAUACCUCCAUAAUCAUUCAGUGAUUUUGAGUUAAUUUUGUCUAUUUUGAUUGUGUUGUGUUUUAAUAUUUCAUCACUUCUAUUGUGACUGUCUCGAUUCCUUCUCCCCACUUGAAGUUUUAGAUUGUGAAUAUCACAAGGAACAAGGACCAUGUUUAAUUCCCACCUGCGUAUU